This 253-nucleotide ribosomal RNA is filed under the name uncultured bacterium. RNAcentral's name for it is "partial 16S ribosomal RNA". It matches the Rfam family "Bacterial small subunit ribosomal RNA", at positions 524 to 776 of the family's 1533-position model. The record is from RNAcentral.
UACGAAGGGGGCUAGCGUUGCUCGGAAUCACUGGGCGUAAAGGGUGCGUAGGCGGGUCUUUAAGUCAGGGGUGAAGUCCUGGAGCUCAACUCCAGAACUGCCUUUGAUACUGAAGAUCUUGAGUUCGGGAGAGGUGAGUGGAACUGCGAGUGCAGAGGUGAAAUUCGUAGAUAUUCGCAAGAACACCAGUGGCGAAGGCGGCUCACUGGCCCGAUACUGACGCUGAGGCACGAAAGCGUGGGGAGCAAACAGG